CACUAUCGUUAACUGAAUACAUAGGUUAACGAGGCGAACCGGGGGAACUGAAACAUCUAAGUACCCCGAGGAAAAGAAAUCAACCGAGAUUCCCCCAGUAGCGGCGAGCGAACGGGGAGCAGCCCAGAGUCUGAAUCAGCUUGUGUGUUAGUGGAACGGUCUGGAAAGUCCGACGGUACAGGGUGAUAGUCCCGUACACCAAAAUGCACAGGUUGUGAACUCGAAGAGUAGGGCGGGACACGUGGUAUCCUGUCUGAAUAUGGGGGGACCAUCCUCCAAGGCUAAAUACUCCUGACUGACCGAUAGUGAACCAGUACCGUGAGGGAAAGGCGAAAAGAACCCCGGCGAGGGGAGUGAAAAAGAACCUGAAACCGUGUACGUACAAGCAGUGGGAGCACCUUCGGGUGUGACUGCGUACCUUUUGUAUAAUGGGUCAGCGACUUAUAUUCUGUAGCAAGGUUAACCGUAUAGGGGAGCCGCAGGGAAACCGAGUCUUAACUGGGCGUUAAGUUGCAGGGUAUAGACCCGAAACCCGGUGAUCUAGCCAUGGGCAGGUUGAAGGUUGGGUAACACUAACUGGAGGACCGAACCGACUAAUGUUGAAAAAUUAGCGGAUGACUUGUGGCUGGGGGUGAAAGGCCAAUCAAACCGGGAGAUAGCUGGUUCUCCCCGAAAGCUAUUUAGGUAGCGCCUCGUGAACUCAUCUUCGGGGGUAGAGCACUGUUUCGGCUAGGGGGUCAUCCCGACUUACCAACCCGAUGCAAACUACGAAUACCGAAGAAUGUUAUCACGGGAGACACACGGCGGGUGCUAACGUCCGUCGUGAAGAGGGAAACAACCCAGACCGCCAGCUAAGGUCCCAAAGUCAUGGUUAAGUGGGAAACGAUGUGGGAAGGCACAGACAGCCAGGAUGUUGGCUUAGAAGCAGCCAUCAUUUAAAGAAAGCGUAAUAGCUCACUGGUCGAGUCGGCCUGCGCGGAAGAUGUAACGGGGCUAAACCAUGCACCGAAGCUGCGGCAGCGACACUAUGUGUUGUUGGGUAGGGGAGCGUUCUGUAAGCCUGCGAAGGUGUGCUGUGAGGCAUGCUGGAGGUAUCAGAAGUGCGAAUGCUGACAUAAGUAACGAUAAAGCGGGUGAAAAGCCCGCUCGCCGGAAGACCAAGGGUUCCUGUCCAACGUUAAUCGGGGCAGGGUGAGUCGACCCCUAAGGCGAGGCCGAAAGGCGUAGUCGAUGGGAAACAGGUUAAUAUUCCUGUACUUGGUGUUACUGCGAAGGGGGGACGGAGAAGGCUAUGUUAGCCGGGCGACGGUUGUCCCGGUUUAAGCAUGUAGGCUGGUUAUCCAGGCAAAUCCGGAUAAUCAAGGCUGAGGUGUGAUGACGAGGCACUACGGUGCUGAAGUAACAAAUGCCCUGCUUCCAGGAAAAGCCUCUAAGCAUCAGGUAACAUCAAAUCGUACCCCAAACCGACACAGGUGGUCAGGUAGAGAAUACCAAGGCGCUUGAGAGAACUCGGGUGAAGGAACUAGGCAAAAUGGUGCCGUAACUUCGGGAGAAGGCACGCUGGUGUGUAGGUGAAGUCCCUGCGGAUGGAGCUGAGACCAGUCGAAGAUACCAGCUGGCUGCAACUGUUUAUUAAAAACACAGCACUGUGCAAACACGAAAGUGGACGUAUACGGUGUGACGCCUGCCCGGUGCCGGAAGGUUAAUUGAUGGGGUUAUCCGUAAGGAGAAGCUCUUGAUCGAAGCCCCGGUAAACGGCGGCCGUAACUAUAACGGUCCUAAGGUAGCGAAAUUCCUUGUCGGGUAAGUUCCGACCUGCACGAAUGGCGUAAUGAUGGCCAGGCUGUCUCCACCCGAGACUCAGUGAAAUUGAACUCGCUGUGAAGAUGCAGUGUACCCGCGGCAAGACGGAAAGACCCCGUGAACCUUUACUAUAGCUUGACACUGAACAUUGAGCCUUGAUGUGUAGGAUAGGUGGGAGGCUUUGAAGCGUGGACGCCAGUCUGCGUGGAGCCAACCUUGAAAUACCACCCUUUAAUGUUUGAUGUUCUAACGUUGGCCCCUGACCGGGGUUGCGGACAGUGUCUGGUGGGUAGUUUGACUGGGGCGGUCUCCUCCCAAAGCGUAACGGAGGAGCACGAAGGUUAGCUAAUCCUGGUCGGACAUCAGGAGGUUAGUGCAAUGGCAUAAGCUAGCUUGACUGCGAGCGUGACGGCGCGAGCAGGUGCGAAAGCAGGUCAUAGUGAUCCGGUGGUUCUGAAUGGAAGGGCCAUCGCUCAACGGAUAAAAGGUACUCCGGGGAUAACAGGCUGAUACCGCCCAAGAGUUCAUAUCGACGGCGGUGUUUGGCACCUCGAUGUCGGCUCAUCACAUCCUGGGGCUGAAGUAGGUCCCAAGGGUAUGGCUGUUCGCCAUUUAAAGUGGUACGCGAGCUGGGUUUAGAACGUCGUGAGACAGUUCGGUCCCUAUCUGCCGUGGGCGCUGGAGAAUUGAGGGGGGCUGCUCCUAGUACGAGAGGACCGGAGUGGACGCAUCACUGGUGUUCGGGUUGUCAUGCCAAUGGCACUGCCCGGUAGCUAAAUGCGGAAGAGAUAAGUGCUGAAAGCAUCUAAGCACGAAACUUGCCCCGAGAUGAGUUCUCCCUGAGACUAUAAGUCUCCUGAAGGAACGUUGAAGACGACGACGUUGAUAGGCCGGGUGUGUAAGCGCAGCGAUGCGUUGAGCUAACCGGUACUAAUGAACCGUGAGGCUUAACCUU
Molecule: ribosomal RNA, 2758 nt
Filed under: Klebsiella pneumoniae
Lineage: Bacteria; Pseudomonadati; Pseudomonadota; Gammaproteobacteria; Enterobacterales; Enterobacteriaceae
Description: bacterial LSU rRNA
Rfam family: Bacterial large subunit ribosomal RNA
Source: RNAcentral